UAAAAAGGAAAACAAAAUAAAACAAAGCUUUAAAUAAUGUUCAGAAAAAAAUCUAUAUUUUUGCAAACUGUAAUUAUCUCUUUUAUAGCAUUGGCUGUAAAAUUACAUGAUUUUUGCUGCAUUUAUCUAAGCAAAAAUAGAAUUAUUUCACAGAUAGUUCACAAUUUUGAAAGAAAAAUUAGGUAUAUUAAGGACCUAAAUUAGCAAAGAGUUUUUUGAAUCUCAUAUAAUAAAAGAAAAAAAACUUUUCAAAAAUUUUUUUAACAAAGUAAAACUGUAAAUAAUAUCCAGAACAGAAGUCUUUAUUUUUGCAAAUUGAAAUUCACUCUUUUACAACAUAUGGCUGUAAAACUACAUGGUAAAUUAACAAAAAUAUUAUUAUUUCACAGAUAUUUCACAAUAUUAGAAAGAAAAAUGAAAAGAAAGAAAAAAUAAAACAACAGAAAAACUUAUUCCAAUGCUAAUCGUAAAAAGAAAAAGUAGCAGCCGAACACAAGCGAAACCAAAUCAAGUCUGAUAAACUUGAUGUUCUUAUUUCAUAAAAAUCUGGUUUAGAUGAAUAAACUGAGCUUGAAUUUCUCCUCAAACUGUGUCCGUCAGGAAAGUUAAAUAUCAUCUUCGUGUCUGUCAAACAGAAAACUGUGACCUUUGUGACGAACGCUUUUCAGGAUCUUACUUCCAUCACUGCAGCUUCGGAUGUGGAGAAGAAAAUGAGCUUCAUUACCUCGGAGCUGUCGGUGCACAGAGGUGCAGCAGACAAUCUCCCCUCGCUUCUCUAAAGACUCAUCACUGAGUGCAUCAAAGUCUGUCUGCUCCCACACCUCCUCCACUCUCAGGCUUUAAUAGAUGCUCAGAUUCUGGAAUAAAGCAGAUUUAUGUCAGAUGUAGUUUCUGGAACUCAACAAACACCGAGCCACAGCUGAGGACAGUAAACGGACAGCUAGAAGUUAUUUCUUGUUAAAAGAACCAAAUUUCUGGAACACAGUCUUGUACUUGAGUUUGAAAAAGAUCUUAUCAGAGCACAUCGUUCCCAUUCAUGUGGACCAUCGGUGACUUUCUCCAGCUUCUAGUAGUUUCAGUUGCCGCAGUUUCAUCCAUCAGCGACUUCUUACAGUCGUAUGAACUGAUUGAUUGGACAUAUUGGAGUUUGGCAGCAUGUGGUAAACUUUUCUAAACCUGACCAAGUGGUUUCGGUGAUUAAAACAUAACCAAACAUAAAAUCAAAAGUCAAAAUCAGACUUUUAGAAACUACUGUCUAGUCAAUAGGGAGCUUCUUGGCAAAAAUAACAUUCCAGAAACUACUCAAGUCUUGGCACCAUAGAUCAGUAAAUCAAUCAGUUUCAACUAGAUUCCUCUUCAAACAAAAUUUUGCCAUUUAGGAGAUGAAAUGAAUUGUUUGUGAUUUUGAUGUGGAAGCUUAAAAUCCCUAAAUUUGUCUUUAGUUUCCUGUUUAUGCUGGACAACUCAACAUUGGAUUUUAAUCAUAUCCUGUUCUUUAAAAAUGGUAGCUUGGUCCACUUAGGACCUUUAAAUGCAUCACUGCUGUCGCACCAUUAAAACAUAUCAGGUGUCAUUUCUGUGAUAAAUCCUUAUCUUCUAAGCAUAUUUUACAAAAUUAUUAAAUAAAAAUUGUUAUUUUUUUGUUUCUGUUGUGAUACGUCCCUCUGCUUCCAUUAAAACAUUUAAUAUGACUAUUUUUGCCCCGUAACUCAUGGAUUUGUCUCGUGUCGGUUGUCAUUUUGACAAGCUACACAUAAAAAAAGAUAUAAUGUGUAGAAAAUACAUCUUAACACUAUAAAAUAGCACCAGAAAUAUGUGCAAGUGCCACUAAUUCUGAAAUGGCUCACUCAGCCGUUUGACAUUUUUCUUCAAUGCAAUGCAUUCUGGAUGAUGGUGACCAUUCAAGGUGCAUUGUGGGAUACUUUGAGUCCACGAUAUAGAGAGUAAGAGCAUUAUAAAAUUACAAACACACUAUAUAGUAUAGUUUUUGGCCACAGAUAUAAACUUCAGAACUCAAACUCAAGUCUCCUGGUUGAAAGUUUCCUGAGUUUUGGCUCCACUAUCACAAAACUCCCAAUUUAGGCUUUUAAUUUCUGUAAAUCACGGCUCCAUCACCUAUAAAUAUCCUGUCCCAAUCCAUCUACUUGGAUGGAAAUGAUGUGCGCUGAUAGCGGCUAUUUAUUGGAAUGAUACCAAACCGUUCAGCUGCAGCUGCAGAGAAUCAGUGUUAAAACCUUUAGAUUUAUCAACCACGGGGCAGCAUUUGGACGUCGUUACACCAAAACACUUUCAUUUCAGUGCACUUAUAUCAAAUGUGUCAGAUACUGCUGUUAAACUUGUUUAAUUUGUGUUGUUUUUGUUAAAUUAACAUGAGAAACCAAAUAUUCCAGCUGAAUAUUCUCAUCACACGUCGUCUUCACUCUGUUCAAGAUCAACAGCACCAUUAAAUAGUCACGUCUCCUGUGCUAAACUGCAGGUGUUGUGACACAGAAAUGAGGUUUUUGUGUAUUUAUGUGUAAACAAAAGAGCAGUAAAUUGGAUUCUGGUAUCUGAAUAUCAUCUGGUCGUGAUACUCGGAGUGAUGAAUCAGCUUCGUGACUUGAAGUACACGUGGAAAUACGCCAACAGCUUUUAAAAACAUUUAGCUGCCAAAUGACUUGAUAUUACCUCAAGAAAUGACAUUAGCAAUAUUUCUUAAAGGACAAGGGUGGAGAGCUGAAAAUGCACAGGAGGCAAAUUGUUAUCUUAAUUAGUCUCAGAUAUAUUAUUCUAAUUAAGCAGCAGAGGUUUGCAGUAAUGACAGUUUCUUCUUAUAUCUUUUUGCGUCACCAAAUUACACUCCUUCAAACUCAGCACACACCUGCAGCGGAGAUAAAGGCUUCCUGGUGUGAAGCUGUGCAGCAUACUUCACCAAGCACACCUGGCCACAGGUGUCCUCCCUCCUCACCGACGCUGGAUGACAUUUGCAGCGAUGGAUGCGUUUGGUCUCUCUGUCUUCCCGUGAACAGACCGACUACCCAGAUGGCAGCGGAGUCACUCAGUCACAGCUCUUAUCUUUGAAAACUGCUGGAGUCUGCAGGUUGAAAAUACCUGCCGCUGCCGCCUUUCAUACCCAGAGAAGGCAGGUCUGAGUGUGUUUGAGAAGCGGCUACAGAGACGAGUGUGUCGACUUGUACAGUUGUGAGAAUUAGUAUUGUGUGAGAUCUGCGAUGAGCCGAGUGUGACGAACUCUAAUAGCUCUCCAACACGUCCGUCUGAACACGCUGCUGCUCGUAGCGUGUUGUGUAUGUGUGUUUUUUUUCCCUUUCCGUCCGUUUUAUCUCUGCCUCCGUUAUCACUUCCAAGCUCUUCCUCUCCACCGCCGACGCCGCUGGAGCGAGACAGAUUGAGGAGGAAGUUGGUCGAAAAAUGGCAUCGACGGAAAAGUUCUGCUCCGGGUGGUGAAACUCUGACGCUCAGACCUUCAGCAAACACAGAAUACGACGGUAGAUUAGAGCUGGUCCGUGAAUUGAGGAGGUCACUCAAGCUAACAAGGCUAAUAGAUGAUAGCACGUCUACAUUAAUUAUAGCCGCGUGACCAAAGAAAAAAACAGAUCUACCAUCCCGCAAUAAACCACCACAUUUGUUGAAGCAGCAUAUUACAACUUGUGGUUAGAUUUCACUGUAGUGGACACAGUAGUUAGUAAACAGGGUGUCCCUAAAGUCUGGACAAAAUCUCAUUUAUUAUAAUCUUUUUGCCACCGCAGAUUAAAUAUGGCUUUGCUGAAAGAAGAAGAGUUAAACUGGUACUUGGAGGAUCCAAUCCAAUCCAAUCCAAUCCAAUCCAAUCCAAUCCAAUCCAAUCCAACUUUAUUUAUAAAGCACUUUAAAAACAACACUGUUGACCAAAGUGCUGUACACAGUGAAAGAAUACAAAUAGUGCGAGUACAAAAAUAAGACACAGGUUAUACAGUAAAAGUCAGCUCUAAGCUGAGCCAUACGCCAAGUUGAAAAAAUAUGUUUUUAGAAGCGAUUUAAAAGUAGGGAGUGAAUCAGCCAGUCUGAUAUUUAGUGGGAGCUUGUUCCAAAGUUUAGAAGCAGCCACAGAAAAAGCACGAUCGCCUCUCAGUUUCUUCUUGGCCUUAGGCACCACCAGUAGAGCUUGAUCUGCCAACCUCAGUGAGCGAGAAGGGUUGUAGGUAACAAGCAGUUCAAACCAUGAAGGCAUUUAAAAACAAAAGAAGUUUAAAAUCAAUAUGGAGGUGCACGGGGAGCCAGUGGAGGGAUUGGAGGAUGGGAGUUACAUGAUCACAUUUUUGCGAUCCUGUUAAAAGGCGAGCGGCAGCGUUCUGAACCAGCUGUAGUCUUGACAGUGAGGUUUUGCUGAGUUCUGAGUAAUGAUAAUUGCAAUAAUGUAAGCGAGUGGUGAUAAAAGCGUGGAUCAAAAUUUCAAAGUUGUGAUGAGAUAAAAAAGGCUUCACUUUGGCAAGUUGCCUCAAAUGAUAAAAGCUUGACUUCACAACAGCACUGAUCUGGGCAUCUAAUUUAAGAACUGAGUCCAUCUUUACACCCAGAUUCAACAGGGCUUACAGCUUGGGUUAAAGAGCCGAGCUCAGCUUUGACCACCCGAGUAGAGUCAAUGGGAACAAACAGAAAAACCUCAGUUUUUUGCUCAUUGAAAUGCAAAAAAUUGUAAGCCAUUUACAAUUUUACUUUUUCAAAGCAUUCAAGAAGGGACUUGGACUGUUUUAAAGGCAAAUAAAUUUGGCAGUCAUCUGCGUAAAAAUGAAACAACACAUCAUGUUUAUGCGGAACUGACCCAAGAGGCAAAAAGUACAAUGAAAAAAGUAAGGGCCCAAGAACUGACCCCUGUGGUACGCCACACGUCAGAGGGGCCACAGUGGAAUCAGAAUCCCCAACUUGGAUGGAAAAGCUUCUGUUGGACAAAUACGAUUUCAACCAGGCUAAAGCUAGACCUGUUAUUCCCACCCACUUCUCCAACCGUGACAAUAAAAUCUGGUGGUCCACCGUGUCAAAGGCUGCUGUUAAGUCCAGCAGGAGAAGAGCAACAGUAUGACCUGAAUCAGAAGCCCGAAGAACAUCAUCAAAAACCCUCAACAAAGCCGUCUCAGUACUGUGUCCAGUUUUAAAUCCUGAUUGGAAGACCUCAGAAAUUCCAUUUUCAUUUAAAAAUGAGCUCAGCUGAAUGUGCACAAUUUUUUCCAAAGUUUUGGACACCAAAGGAAGUUUGGAAAUCGGCCGAUAAUUGGAGAGUUCCUGUCGAUCAAGGUUUGAUUUCUUUAACAGAGGCUGGACGACUGCAUGUUUGAAACACAAAGGGACAACACCAUUGGCCAAGCUGCCAUUAACAAUAUCCAGGACAAAAGGUGCCAAUGUCGGAAAGACCUCUUUAAAAAGACGAGGAGGAAUCACAUCAAUGGGGGAGCCUGUAAUUCUCAUUUCACUGAAAACUUGUUCUAAAAGAUGCAGGCUAACAGGUUCAAACUGAUUAAAACAGCAGAAUAAGUUACUGAUGUGGCGGGGUCAUAUGCAAGACAACUUAUAAGGGCUCUAGCGCUCUCCACUUUGUGAAUGAAGAACUGCAAAAAAUCCUCACACACUUUCGAUGGGUCCUCGGGACAGUGGGGUUCUGGAGCACUGAGAACUGUUUCAAUAGUGUCAAAAAGAACACGUGGGUUGUUACCGUUGGAAACAAUGAUGUCAGAAAAGUGUCUGGUUUUUGCAUCUUUAACGUUUUUUUGAUAGGAAUGCCAAAUAUCUCUCAGAUUCUGAAAAGACACAUGUAGCUUAUCCUUCUUCCAUUUUCUGUCUGCCUUUCUGCAUUCACGUCUGGCAGCGUGCGUAACGUCAUUCAACCAGGGUUCAGACUUUGAUUUAGACAGCCUGAAUUUCACAGGAGCAACAAUGUCUAAUGCAGCUCUGCAAGCGGAAUUGAAACCAGCGCAAAGAUCAUCAAUGGAUCUGUUUAAACAGAGAGAGUCAUUUAUGUUCAGAACACAACAAAAGUGCGCAGCGGUGGAAGGGUUAACCAUACAGCCACGACGCACAAGCGCGCACAGUUUGGAUAUGGCACAGGACAGGGGAAUUUCAAAUAAAACAGGUGUAACCCACUCAAAAUAGCCUAAAUCUGGAUGAACUUGUUUUCAGUUUUUAGAUGUAAUAGCCACUUUGAGCCAGCAGAUGGCAGAGGGUAGCGCCGCAGCUAGAGAAAGAGUCAACGACAGCUGUAGGAGAAGCAGAGAAAGAAACGGAGCAAACCAGACCACACGGAGUGUAUUAGCGAGAGAAACGAGUGAACUUAAGGACUCUUCUGAACAAACGGUAUUUUACAAAGAGUUACAAGGAGUAACUGGUCGAAGUUCUGUCAAGGAUUUAGAGGUUUUGUUUUCCUAUUCUCCGGUGAGUAUUGUUAAGAACAUUACAUGCCGUGCUAGCUAAUGUAGCUUAGCUGACGUAGCUACUGUAUUACAAGGAGUAAUAUGGGAUUGGCAUGGAUAAAUGGUAUUUGCUUGCUAUUUUCUGUUGUUGAUGAAUAUAGUUUGAAAGUUGCUGAGAGGACUUAUUAAAAACCAAUCGGAGAAUGACUUGUGUUUUGCAAACUAAAGUACGAAUCAAUGGGAUGAAGAAAAAAUGCUAGUCUUGUUGCUCUGCAUGAUCUACAUGUUUACAGCAAGUUAAAUGGAAUGUAUUGCAACUUUGUACCUACCAUAAAUGUAUUAUUUUAGAACAUUGAACAGUAUAAAUUCCAGAUCUAGUGAUGUAUGAGAUUAUGAGAUUAUAAUUAAUGUUACCCUACUUAUACAGGUUGUUUUUUUUUUUUUUUUAUUUACCCUGAGAAACUGACAGGGAGAAAGGGAGAAAGAAGCUGAGUUUAUUGUGCAACCCGCCGAUGGACAUACAGACGGACAAAGGACGUGCCACAGACAAACAGAGAGUACAUCGCAGGUGUGCUGAGGGUCGCGUCGCCGAUUAGGAGGAUGACUUCAUGUUCUUCAAUUCAUCGUACAGGAACUUGAGUUGGGUUCCCAGGCCCACCAUCCCAUCAUCUACCUGCCUAGGCUUUCGGUCAAGGAUUUGGAUGUCGUCUUAAAUUCACAAAUGUGGUUUCACCUCUGGAUGGUCAACGGCACUGCAGAUGGACUACAGAAAUCCUAAUUAGCUCUGUGUUGUUGAUGCACAAUGAGGGACGUCUGCAGAGACUGAGAAAGAGUCUCACCACAUCCUGACAUGAGGAAAAAGACUUUAUUGAAGACUACAAUGAGAAAAACUAUCAGACAGCAGACGGCUGCAUUCAAGGUGAGCUCUGAACAUUUGAUCUGGAACAGGAAUUCAAUAACGGCAGCAUGAGCUUCAUUUCAGUCUGUAGCUGCUGAAUUCAUGGAUGAAUCAUCUGGCACUAGAGAGGAAGACCAUCAAACAUCCACGUCAGCUGAUGGAGGUCCAAGAGUCUCACCCAACAACCAACCUCCAGAGUAUUGAUGUUAGGAGACGUGCCGAUGCUUCGAAGCAUGUGCCGAGUAAUGGAGGUGGCGUUUCCAUGAAGCGCGUAUCCAGGCUUGCUUCAUUUAGAGGAGGAGCCAAAAUGAUGACGUCCGAAGCCUCGCUGCCUGCCUGAACCACGUGACUGCUUCGGAAAGUGGUUCAGAUUUUGCCGUGAGGUUUGACAGCAACAUAAACCCCUCAGGCUCCGUUCAGAAUGUGGGUUUUUGAUAGAGUUGCGGUCAGUUGAGAGUUUGAAUAGCUUGAAUACUAGAGUUUGGAGAGUAGAGAGUAGUUUUAGAGAGUAGAAAGAUAGUUUGUAGAUUUAGGAGAAUGAGGAGAGAAGGAUGGGUUUUAGGAAGGGGUCAGCUAGGAAGAGGAGGAUUUCCCCUAUGUGGGAACAUUUUGAUUUGAUAAUUCCUAAUCAGGUAAGCUGAAUCUAACAUUACAGAUGCAUUAGCUUUGGUUAUCAAGAACUGUAUUUUUCACUGUUAUUUUAUUCAAAGGUGAGGUGUUUAUUGUGUGUGUCAAAAAAGGAAUCGUUUAAAACCAAAUACUGUUGAGAAACUUAUUUUUGAAUGAAAGGAAUAAAAUGUCCCCCUUCCUGUGCAUCGUUGUCCAAGUUACACAGCAUAUUCAGUACGAUCUACCUAGUUCCACACUUUCACUGUCCUCUGCCUGCUUAAGGCCAUGGCAUUUUCUUAAAGUGACAGAAAAACAUUACACAACCUGCCACAUUAUAUGAUACUACCAUUUUGGGGAAAAUUUACGCACACACACAAUACAUGAAAAUAGAUUUUAUUCUACACGUGAGAAUUUAUCUACAGAAAUUAUUUGGUCAUACAUUUUCUUGUAUUUCAUAGUCAUUCCCAACAGCCAUAACCGAUAAAAAUUCAGUGCAUCAGACAUUAUGUGGUUCAGAUACAGCUGCCUGUGAUUAUACACCUGGCCAGCAGGUGGCUUUGUGUGCUCAUUAAGCUUCAAGAAAUGAACCGUUUCUCGAACCAAUUGGCUCAAGUGGUUCAAUGCCUCAUGAGGCUUCAUCUCACCAUCACUACUACAGAGUGAAGACCUCCAAUCUGAUUGGACGGCCUCCUAUUCAGCCACAUGUGUGAACAAAUGCCUCUAAGCUGAUUUGUUUUCUAAAAUAAAUCUAGUUUGUGUCCCAAUCAAUGCUUGUGUGUUUGCUUCUUUACACCGCUGUUAACAGUUUAGGCUGUUAGAUUGUUCCAGAUAAGACAAGUACAAGAUUCUUCAGAGCCGUUCUACCACGAGCCUGACAGGAAGAACUCCAACAGCUACUGAAUGUUCCUGUGGUCCCCUCAAGGCUACAGGAGGAGUCCUACGAGGACGAGCCGGUCCACUUGAUGGCGGCCAGUCGCUGUGGUUCAAAGCCAACACCGACUACAUGGACUUCUACUGGACCACAUGGAGGCCUUCAAACCGGACCAACAAGUUCAGCGACUCCCCUACUCGUGGGUCUGAGGAUGCCGCCGAGCCUCGGUCCAGCCGGCCUCCUGUCUGUGGAUGUUUGAGUGCUGAGAGGUUUGUGGAUGCAUGUGAACGUUCUGUGUUGAAACAGCAGCUUUGGACUCAGUAACACCGGGAAAAACCAAGAGCUCCUUUAUUUGUGACUUCCACUAAAAAAAACUGAUGAAAAUAAGUUUGCCAGGGUUCUGACUGAUAACAGAUUAUUAAAUAAUGAAAGUAAUCGUUUAAAUAUUCCUUUAAACAAUACUUUUAGGUCUACAUUUCCUUUACACUGACUUCUUGGUAUUUUGGGUGGAAUAUACCAUUAAGCUCAAUGUUCAAGGGUUCUUCUGGGAAUAUACCAUUAAACCAACCUUUCAGGUAAAUGUUCCAGGAUGUUGGGUAGAAUAUACCAUCAGAUCAACCUUUUAGGUCUACAUUGGAAGAUUUUAGAGUAGAAUAUUACUCCAAACCAUCCUUUAGGUCUACAUUUAAGAUGGAAUACUCCUUUACACCAAGAUUUUUUGGUCUACAUUGAAGGAUUUUAGGUGGAAUAUUCCUUUGAACGAACUUUUUAAGUUUAUGUUCAAGGAUGUUGGGUGGAAUAUACCAUCAGACCAACCUCCAAGGUCUACAGUAGUGAAUUUUAGGUGGAAUAUACCAUUAAACUCACCUUUAAGUCCACAUUGGAGGAUUUUAGGUGGAAUUUUCUUCCAAACCGUCUCUUAGUCUACAUUUAAGGAUGUUUAGGAUGGUAUAUUCUUCC
Long non-coding RNA from Amphiprion ocellaris (clown anemonefish), 9715 nucleotides. RefSeq lists it as uncharacterized. The transcript has 3 exons. The record is from RefSeq and is a predicted model, not a curated record. NCBI's taxonomy places the organism in Eukaryota, Metazoa, Chordata, Actinopteri, Pomacentridae.